GAUGAAGAACGCAGCGAAAUGCGAUAAGUAAUGUGAAUUGCAGAAUUCAGUGAAUCAUCGAAUCUUUGAACGCACAUUGCGCCCCCUGGCAUUCCGGGGGGCAUGCCUGUCCGAGCGUCAUUACAACCCUCAAGCUCAGCUUGGUGUUGGGCCCCGCCGCCCCGGCGGGCCCUAAAGUCAGUGGCGGUGCCGUCCGGCUCCGAGCGUAGUAAUUCUUCUCGCUCUGGAGGUCCGGUCGCGUGCUCGCCAGCAACCCCCAAUUUUUUUCAGGUUGACCUCGGAUCAGGUAGGGAUACCCGCUGAACUUAAGCAUAUCAAUAAGCGGAGGA
RNAcentral lists this unclassified non-coding RNA (329 nucleotides) under soil metagenome. RNAcentral describes it as "partial contains 5.8S ribosomal RNA, internal transcribed spacer 2, and large subunit ribosomal RNA". The stretch from base 1 to 120 matches the Rfam family "5.8S ribosomal RNA", at positions 35 to 154 of the family's 154-position model. The record is from RNAcentral.